Molecule: ribosomal RNA, 253 nt
Filed under: uncultured bacterium
Lineage: Bacteria
Description: partial 16S ribosomal RNA
Rfam family: Bacterial small subunit ribosomal RNA
Source: RNAcentral
UACAGAGGGUGCGAGCGUUGUCCGGAAUCACUGGGCGUAAAGGGUGCGUAGGCGGCCUGAUAAGUAGGGGGUGAAAUCCUGUGGCUCAACUGCAGGGCUGCCUCCUAGACUGUCGGGCUUGAGCACGGUAGAGGCAGAUGGAAUUCCCGGUGUAGCGGUGGAAUGCGUAGAGAUCGGGAAGAACAUCGGUGGCGAAGGCGGUCUGCUGGGCCGUUGCUGACGCUGAGGCGCGACAGCGUGGGGAGCAAACAGG